This 253-nucleotide ribosomal RNA is filed under the name uncultured bacterium. Its description in RNAcentral is "partial 16S ribosomal RNA". It matches the Rfam family "Bacterial small subunit ribosomal RNA", at positions 524 to 776 of the family's 1533-position model. The record is from RNAcentral.
UACGAAGGGGGCUAGCGUUGCUCGGAAUUACUGGGCGUAAAGCGCACGUAGGCGGUCUUUUAAGUCGGGGGUGAAAUCCUGGAGCUCAACUCCAGAACUGCCUUCGAUACUGGAAGACUCGAGUCCGGGAGAGGUGAGUGGAACUGCGAGUGUAGAGGUGAAAUUCGUAGAUAUUCGCAAGAACACCAGUGGCGAAGGCGGCUCACUGGCCCGGUACUGACGCUGAGGCGCGAAAGCUAGGGGAGCAAACAGG